RNAcentral lists this unclassified non-coding RNA (358 nucleotides) under soil metagenome. RNAcentral's name for it is "partial contains 5.8S ribosomal RNA, internal transcribed spacer 2, and large subunit ribosomal RNA". The stretch from base 1 to 120 matches the Rfam family "5.8S ribosomal RNA", at positions 35 to 154 of the family's 154-position model. The record is from RNAcentral.
GAUGAAGAACGUAGCGAAAUGCGAUAAGUAAUGUGAAUUGCAGAAUUCAGUGAAUCAUCGAAUCUUUGAACGCACAUUGCGCCCGUCAGUAUUCUGGCGGGCAUGCCUGUUCGAGCGUCAUUACGCCCCUCAAGUCCCCUGUGGACUUGGUGUUGGGGAUCGGCGAGGCUGGUUUUCCAGCACAGCCGUCCCUUAAAUUAAUUGGCGGUCUCGCCGUGGCCCUCCUCUGCGCAGUAGUAAAACACUCGCAACAGGAGCCCGGCGCGGUCCACUGCCGUAAAACCCCCCAACUUUUUAUAGUUGACCUCGAAUAAGGUAGGACUACCCGCUGAACUUAAGCAUAUCAAUAAGCGGAGGA